RNAcentral lists this ribosomal RNA (497 nucleotides) under uncultured bacterium. Its description in RNAcentral is "partial 16S ribosomal RNA". It matches the Rfam family "Bacterial small subunit ribosomal RNA", at positions 28 to 507 of the family's 1533-position model. The record is from RNAcentral.
GAUGAACGCUGGCGGCGUGCCUAAUACAUGCAAGUCGAGCGAACAGAUGCAGAUCUUGCUCCUCUGUCGUGGGCAACGGACGGGUGACACAUACGUAAAUUACCUUUCUCUAUGACUUGGGUAAGUGAGGGUAGCCGUAGUUAAGGCCAGGUAAGAUAUUCAAACGGAUGGUUCUAGAGUGAAUGACCGUUUUUCUUUCCCUUAUAGAUGUAUCCGCUCCGCAUUAGCUAGUUGGUUAGGUAACGUCGUACCGAGGCACCGAUGCGUAGCCGACGUGAGAGAGGGAUAGGCGACACUGGAACUGAGACACGGUCCAGGCUCCUACGGGAGGCAGCAGUAGGGAAUCUUACGCAAUGGGCGAAAGCAUGACGGAGCAACGCAGAGUGAGUGAUGAAGGUCUUCGGAUAGUAAAACUCGGUUAUUAGGGAAGAACAAAUGUGAAAGUAAAUAUGCACGUAUUGACGGUACCUACAGAGAAAGCAACGGCUAACUACGUG